UAGACAAGAUGGCUAAAUUACUAUAGUGCCCGUUGUCAACUUUUUCCCACUUUGUUUACCUCGAUCACUCACUCUCUCUCUCUCUCUGGGCUCAUCCGAUCCCAAACCCCAGAGCAUACAAUUUCCACCGGAAAACAAAAAACACAAAAAUCUCAUCUGAGUUUCCUCAGAAGAACCUCAAACUCCGAUUUGGGUAGUGAAAUCUACCCAAUUCCUUAUCUGGGUUCUUCUAAUUUCUUCACAAAAGCCUUAUAUUUGAUUUGGGUAUCAAAUUCUCCCUCAUUUCUCAUCUGAGCUCUACUCAAUUCUUGUGAUUUCGAGCUAGUAGAGGAUCCCAACUCGUCCACCCACGAAACCGACUGCUGAGGACUCCGUUUCGUCUUCUCUCCGGGCCAGGACUUUGGAAUCCUAACUCUCCGGCGAGGGUUCGAGCCUUCGGAUCUCGCCUCGCCAAUCUGGAUCACCAUGCUAAUUCCUUGCACUCCCCUUCUAUCUCUGAUCUCUCAAGUCUCAACUUUAUUAUCAAUGUCGGCUAAGCACUAAGACCCAAUUUCAGCACCGCAACCUCAACGGUCGGUAAUAACAUCUGAUAAGGUGGUCUACAGGGUUUUUGAUCACUGAUGAGGUGGUCUACAAGGUAUUUGAGCACUAUAUAAAGCAACAGGGAAGAAGACCCAAAAUCACAAACUUAGCUUCAAAGUUUCAAGCUUUUCUUAUCUCUUUCUCAGUUUCAGUGACCCUCAGAGAUUCUAAAGCAAACCCAGAAACAAAAACUAGAUGGAAGGUGUAAGCAGUGUUAUGAUCAACGAUAGGAACUUGUCUCACGAUUUUUGACCGUCUGAUCCCUACGAGGGGUUCGGUGAAGAUGGCCAUAGUGGGGAUUCUGCUUCUUUGUUCUUUUAUGUUCUCUUACCGUCAUGGUGGUGGUGAUGCUCAUAAGUUCUCUUAGGCUUAUAGAAACCAAGAUGUAGCAAAUCAAUAAGGUUGAGCGAUUCAUUUGGUGCAUCACUCAAUUUCAGUUUAUCUUUGGAACUGUGUAAUGCUUGCUAUACUGUUGGGAUGAGGAUCAGAUCUCGGCAGUCGUUGAUUUUUACUUCUUUUAAUGUUUGUGUGUUUGUUAAUAUUGAAGAUAUGUAAAUUGUCCA
Rosa rugosa (rugosa rose) is the source of this 1145-nucleotide long non-coding RNA. RefSeq lists it as uncharacterized. NCBI's taxonomy places the organism in Eukaryota, Viridiplantae, Streptophyta, Magnoliopsida, Rosales, Rosaceae. The transcript has 2 exons. The record is from RefSeq and is a predicted model, not a curated record.